This is a long non-coding RNA of Neoarius graeffei (lesser salmon catfish), 904 nucleotides long. RefSeq lists it as uncharacterized. The record is from RefSeq and is a predicted model, not a curated record. NCBI's taxonomy places the organism in Eukaryota, Metazoa, Chordata, Actinopteri, Siluriformes, Ariidae. The transcript is spliced from 2 exons.
UUUGAUCGGUGAGAUGCGGUCAUGUGACAGAGCCUCUGCUGGAAGUCUCGACAAAACAUAAACAGACCACACAUCGCACGGAUCAAUAAAAAUAAAGUAGCGAGUAACGAACAGAAUAUAGCCCAAUGUAACGGAGUAAAAGUACCGCUUCUUCUUCUUCACAAAUAUACUCAAGUAAAAGACAUUCUGUCGCAUGUCCCAGACCCGGUGAAAUGUAACUGAAUUGUCUUGGCCAGCCCUAAGGGUCCCAUCUGCAUCUCAUCAUUGCUGAGGAGUGUGCUCCCAUCACCCAAUCAAGCAUCCAGCCAGAGCAGGUCAUGAUAUAUUUUUUACCAUAUUAACAUGCCAUUGUUGUGUGUUAUGCCUGAUGUAAAGACUCUCGUCUCUGCGAGCCUACCACACAGAUUUAAUACUUGUCAUUUUUAGGGCAUACCUAACAACCUGUGUUUUCUUUCUCCCCCCCCAAUCUGUCCCUCUGAGUUACAUGUUGAUCCUGGGAUUGAGUUGCUGGCCUCUUCUGCCCCUCAGACCUGCUUGAUCCAUCCUGGUGCCCUGUGUCUGGUCAGAGUUUUAUCGCACCGCUCCUGUGAAGGACGGCCCCAUGAGGACAGUUGAGGGCUAUACCUGUUAAAACUGUUAAUAUUAUAGUCAGGCUGUCUGUUGUUGUCCAAAUGAGGAUGGGUUCCCUUUUGAGUCUGGUUCCUCUCGAGGUUUCUUCCUCAUGUCGUCUGAGGGAGUUUUUCCUUGCCACCGUCGCCACAGGCUUGCUCAUUGGGGAUAGAUUAGGGAUAAAAUUAGCUCAUGUUUUAAGUCGUUCAAAUUCUGUAAAGCUGCUUUGCGACAAUGUUUCUUGUUAAAAGCUCUAUACAAAUAAACUUGAUUUGAUUUUUUUGCCCCAAACAAA